Molecule: long non-coding RNA, 1117 nt
Filed under: Gossypium raimondii (Peruvian cotton)
Lineage: Eukaryota; Viridiplantae; Streptophyta; Magnoliopsida; Malvales; Malvaceae
Description: long non-coding RNA (GRAI_LNC007888)
Source: RNAcentral
UGCUGUUAUCCAUCUUUCAGCAUAUUUAUCAGUUAAAAGCUUUUACUCGAGGGAGCUCCCUAGGGUUGGUCUAUUUCAGCCAUUGAGAAGGGUCUGAAUCCAUCAUUUGCAAUUGGUCGUCAAAUCUUUGUAUCAACCAUUAUAAAUACAUACGGGUAAGGAAGAGGUUGGGGAAUGACUGCCACAAAUUACACUAUUAUUUACAUCACUUUUUACACAUAACUUUAGCUUGUAUAAUAGUUAAAUCAAAUCAUCGUAGUACAUAUUUAUGUUUUUAUGCUUGAAAUAGUGAUUUAUGUUUUUUAGCAGUUUUUAUUACAUUUAAAAUAUCUAAAUAAGGUUAUGGGAUUAUGUAGGUCAAAUUGGGAGCUAAAUAUGCACAUGCUAGCCAAAACUGAUGCCUAGGUCGCGACACCAAGACACUGAUGUCGCAACACCAAAAAAAGAAGCAAAAAGAAGAAUUGGAACGAAACUGCCUACUAUGUCGCGAAACACUUCCUGCUAUGUCGUGACACUGACCUAUGUUGCAACACGGCUUUUGCACGUUGAAAUAGUAGAUCUAGAGAAGAACUAGAGCGAAGCAUUAUAGAGCUACCAAGUAGAGACGAUAAAGAAUCUUCAAGAUUAUUUACUGAAGUUGAAUUAAACAUCUUGUUGCAUGCCCAGGUUAUUGUCGGGCCUUCCAAUGUUCAAUGCGUAGACUUCAAUGCUCUAAGUUACCUUACUGAUGCCAAGUUAGGUUUCAACAUUUUUUUCCCCUUUUGGAGCGGAAAGAGAAGAGUUUUCAGAACAUUGGAAAAAGUUAGAGAGACUUUUCCUAUCUGAUGAACUUGCUGAGGCAUGCAUUGUUCGCAUUGAAGAGGCAGUUGAGGGUGGGGGCAACGAAGAAGAAGACAUUGAAGUUGACAUGGAUGGUGUAGACCAAAACAACUAGCUUUAUAUAUGUUGACUUGUAUUUGAUGUGUUUUGGUUUGUAAUUUGAAUUGAAUUUUGUUAGAUUGAUAGAGCUCUAAUUUUGAAUCACUCAUUGUGGGUUUAUUUUAUUUUCUGUCAAUUUAUUAUUUGACAACGUUGAACUACUACUGUGAUCGAAUUUAAUUUGAAAAAGAUACACCUA